GGGAGUCCUAUAUGGAAAUACUUUUUGGAAAAAAGGAAAAUUCUCCACUCUCCUAACUCCUAACGGCAAGUGACGUAUCAUUUUUUUUUAAUAUAACAGCAAACAAAAAUAGCUGUUGACCGAAAAGUUAUCUAUUUUCUCUCUUUUUUACACCUAUUUCAAGUGCUUAUGGUAUUUCAAGUGCUCAUGGGUAAUAGCUGAGCCAGUCGCUAUGCGACUUGGUUUUUGUGGUCAUCGCGCGGGUAUCCUGUGGUGUCACAAUCCAUCUAUCCGUCCAUCCAUCCAGUCAAUCGUGCAACUCCCAGGCCCACUCGGUCUCACAAGGGGAAUGUGUUUUUUUGCCUCCUAUCUUAACUAGAAAAUAGUAUUUAAUGAGAAAGAUGAGGAUUUAAAUAGGCUGAUUGUGGUCGAGGGCUAAACAAGUUUUUGAGGAACCGUUUCGUCUGGAAGAAACUAAUAAGCAGCUAAAAAGAGAACUUCAGACUCAACACUGUAUUCUCAUAAAUGCGUCACGAAGCAAAAUCAAAGCAAAAAGGUAAUGUUAUCAUAUUAUUAUUUAACAGGCAAUUAAACUGAAAACUUACACCAAAACAAAACGUUUUCUGACCGUAGCCUUAACAUACUUAAAUUGUUCACACAAUUUGUGAACACAAUUGUGUUGUCAAAAGUUAUACUAAAAUUCUUCCUUCUACAAAUAAAGGCUUAUAUUGCUAAGGUAGGGAGAGUUUAACGGCAAAAAAAUGCUCAGUUGUAUUGGAUAAAUAAUCGAUUUAGAACUAUAUCCGGCAAUUUAUCACAUAGUGGAAAGCGAAUGUUUUCGAGAACAACAUAUAAGUAAGCUUAAUAUUUCGCAAUCAGUAAGGCAUCUAAAAAUAAUUUUCUUUCUCUAUAGAUUUGAUCAUAUUUUUAAGAUUCUAGAGUUCGAAAAUGUGCCUUUAUCACUCUAUAAAAAUCUUAAUUGAGAUUUACUGUGUCUGUUUUGGUUGAUACAUAUAAAUUUGUUUUUGUUUCUGUCUCUUUUAUACCAAACUGUUAUGAGAUAAAAAGUGCUUGUGUAAACACUGUUGGAGACUUGAAUAGUUUAAUACAAUUCUUGCCAAGUGUUAGGGUUCGAGGCUGUAGCUAAGAAGUUUGUUACUCUGAGUGUUUCAAAAUAUCCGCACUCAAACAGAACCAAAACCAACUGCCAUGAACUUACUUGUCCACGCGAUAAACUAGCUUACGCCAUUUUCUGCACGUGCUCUAUUUUAAAUUGUAACGUUCUUACGCUUACAUAGAAUUACAGCCUUGAACAAACUAAUAAUACACUAAUAAUAAUUUAACAAUACACAAUAAUAAAAAUAAUUGUCCAGACCAACAGGGUCCAAAGUCAGUUUUUAAUGAUUCUUAAACACAUAUCACUACACUUGCCUAGGGCCAAGUUACGUGCUUAGUAAUUACAUGAUUUAGCUGGAAUAGCUAUGCAAUGACAAGGAUAUCUUGGUCCCAGGGAAGGGACUCCACUAUAAUCAGAUGGGGGUUAUUGUUGAUGGGAGAGCAAAGUGGGUGUGGUCAGCACCUAAGAGAUAGCAAAUCGGGUGGGGUAGAAGGAAUUUUUUAACCCUUAGAGAUAGCAGAAUCAAAAACAACUCCCCACCCCAGGUAGCUAUGAAAUGACAAGGAUACCUUUUUUUCAGGUGAUUAAAGGAAGGACUAAAGUAUAGCCGUCAUUAUAGGCUGGCUGAAAUGAAAGCAGACGUAAAUAAACGUUUUUCAUAUUCCUUUUUUGCUUAGUAUAAUUAUAUUCAAUCAACACACAUUCUUUCCCUAUAGCCAACAUAAUCUGCUCUUGCUCUGCUGAUACUUCCCUAAAGUCUGUGUGGAUAUAAGUCUUUAACCGUCAACAAAAUUAUUGACCAUGUUAUGAUUUCUGAUGCUUGAAGACCAGGUCUUCUGUACUUACUACAAAGUUACUUACUGCAACUGUAAUUAACUGCAAACUGAUUGCAUUAUUCUCAUGUGCAUAGGUAACAACAAUAAAUACUAUUUGCAUAUAUAACAAAAUGCUGGCUACACUGUUAUUAGCAAAUGUAGUCUUUUUUACUUGUAACUUUUCUAUGCAUUUGCUCAAAUGACUUGGCCCUCUACAUAACUGCUUAUUAUUCAUGAACAAGAGAGACUCAUAUGUAAUAAUGGCAGGGGAGAGGGCUUUGAAUAUUAAAAAUAUUUGGUUGUUUGUUAUUAGAUGGAAGAUGUUUUUAAUACAGGAUAAAAGAGAAAGGAUGGUGUAUAUUAAAAGGAUUAUUAGAUUUAUCAAAGAUUUUUAGUUUGAUACCGAUGAAUAUAAGAUUAGUAAAAAUGUAUCAAAGGGAUUAGUAUAUAUGAGGUGGUGUAGAAUUGAAGAUCAGGUAUUUUAGGGUGUUGAAAGUUUCAACCUAGGUGUUAUGGGGUAUGUAAUUUUGGACUCUUCAAGGCCCCAUAGUGCAUAGCCGUAGCAGGCCUAGAAUUAUUGGGGGACACAAUACAUAAACAUUAAGAAAACAAUGGGGGGACACAGCCACGCCCCUACUGGUCAUUUCCUUAUAAUUUUUGACAAUUUUGGGGUUGAACGUGCCCCCAGUGCCCCACCCCCUGCUACGGCCCUGUAGUAUGAUAAUAGAUUUGAAUAGAUUGCAAAGAACACUAAAAAGGACAUGAAAACGUCUGUAAUAUCAUCUUUUUAAGCACUCUUUACAAAUCUAUAAUCAUACUACUUCACCUAUUACCAAGUGCAACCAUAUCCAGCCACAGCACCUCGGUUCAUACCACCAUAUUUAUAGCCUAACAUUACCCCUUGCUUCAAGGUAGCCAAAAUUAUGCUUAGCACCAUCUGCUGUAAUACUGAAUGCCUAAACUCGGUCAUGUUUUUUUUUUCAGGAGAGUUUUAAAGCUAUAUAUAAUAACAACUUUUCUCUUAUUUAUUCAAGGGGCACAUAAACUUGAGGGUCCCUUUUUCUGAAAAAAAAUAUUUGUAGAUUAUCUGAAGUAUACUAAAAAAUGAAACAUGACAUAAAUAAAUAGGGCCCAAUUUAGCAAGAUCUUAUUAUAUGGCAAAUUAUAAAUAUAUUUUCUGUAUCAGUUGUCUAUCGAGUACAACUCUACGUAAGAGUUCAAAUAAUCCCUCUUUUUAUGCAAAUAGUAUCCUGAGUAAUGUCAAUCAAAAUUACUAAUAGUGUCAUUGUUCUGGGUAUUCUCUAGGGGAGAAUGGGAGGAAAUAAUUUUAUAAUAAUAGGAAAAGUUAUAAGCCAUUUAUUUUUAUGCAUUUAGAUAGGGUUGAUCUUAGGGAGAUGGGAUACCUGAAGCAAAAUCAAAGUGUAGUAUCCUGUUGUUAUGUGCCUCUUGAAGUUUGGUCUUUGUCGGGGUUGGGGGAGGGGUGUUGAUGGGGACAUACCCCUAGUUUAGGGUGGGAAAACAUUGCUGGCUCCGCUUUUAGGCCGUGCCUAAAUUUAUAUAUUAGUUAUUUGGGUGGUAAAUAAACUAAAGCAAUGCAAGAACCAUACAGUAGUUACAUUUAAGGGAUAGUCGUAUGUUUUUUUUCUGAAGUUGGAAAGAAUAUUCUUUGGGUCAUUUUUGGCGUAGAGAACGGCUAUUUGGCAAUCGCCUAUGCCGUUUGCACUAUCAAUUAAAAUAGGUGUAACAAACAAUCUGUUUUGAGAACUGUCGUUUUUCUAGCUAGCUCGGUCAACCCUUUCUCAAGACAUUGCAUAUUAUUUGGGAGUUCGCUUCGAUUAUACAAUCCAUAACAAUCAGAGUGGCUGUCGUUUUUAUUAUAAAUAUAAAUGGUUUAAAGAGCGCCUGAGGCGAGCGCGCGGGAGACCUGUGAACGUUAGUAUACUCAACUCCUGCAAGCGAGGGAGUUCUUGACGUACGAACGAUUGAGCGGAAUAUGGUAUGUAAUGUUCUUAAGGAAUUGACCGAGCGAACUAGAAUAACGACAUUCAACACAAGAUUGAUUGAUAUUUCUUUUUUAUCAUGCUAAAAUUUCUUGUGUCGAGACUUUUAAUGUAAACAUGAAAGAAUUAGUGUUUACUUCGCUUUCGAUGGCCAAUAUAUUGAAAAAUAGGCCCAGAUCAUGGCGUUUUAGUAUAUCACAGGUUCAAAAGAUGUAAUUGUCAGACACUUUAAUCCUUGGAUUUUUAUUUUACUUAAUGCAACACGUAAAAACCGAUUUUAUCCAAGAAAAUAAAAACACAAACACCCACAUAAUCAAGGCGUAUAAAGGGUGAGUGAUGUAAUUUGCUGCCUUAUUACAACCUCAUUGCGUACAUUAAAUAAUAUUUACAUAAUAAAUAUAUUAACACAAUCAAAACCAUAUCCCAACUCCUCCACUACCCUUGAUGAGUUUCUCUAAAAUCCCAGUAUAAGCAAACAAAAGGUCAGCGGUGAACUUUCGUGGUUUCACGUGACGUGCUAGACACCGGCACCCCCCAUUGCCUGCUUCAUCGCCAUCUUCCGCGCCGCCUUCAUUGCUCUUUCUACAAAGUUAAUGUUUUCUUUUAGUACGACCUCCUUUUAUAUUGAUUGUAUCAAGGGAAGGGGGUGGGGGUAAGGGGAGGGGAGGGGAUUGCUGGUCCGCCUACUUGUUUUGUUUCUUAGAGUUCAAAACAAAAGCUAAGAAAAAGUUCUUGACGAACAAAUCACGCCAAGGCAAGUACAGCUUGAGAAUGCGCAUGAGUGUGGAAGAAAGUGGGUGCAGUCUUAUGGAAUUGACUAUUUUAGGAGCGCGCGCAAGCUUAAGGGUAAUACACGAUAUUGUUUUCGAAAAUUAAUGUGCAACCUUGGAUAUAUUGCAUUUAUUAUUUUAAAAAAAAUUAACUAAUUCUUCUCUUCUGAUCAAUUCUGUCUGCUUUUUAUUUUUACUAUGAUAACAAUACCUUGUUUUGGACUUUUAAGCCCCUUCAUGUAAUACAAUAAACAGAUAAAAGGAAGAGAAACCCUAACAAUACCUUCCAAGGUUCCUUUACCCUUCCCUUUCUCUUUGCCGCCAUCUUUCUUGCUUUUCCUGCAGAAGGGAUGAGAAAAAGAUUAGCCGUUUCCACUGAUCGUCAGACCUUUUUAGGCUGCAUAGCGGCGGGAGGGGAGGGGUCCGUGGGCGAGAGAAAAAAUCGAAACGAGCCACGGACCCCUUCCCUCUCCCCUUUUGCGCCGCUGCACAGUCCAGAGGAUGGAAGGGCAAUUAAAGCAAGAAAAAAAGAAAGGCUAAAAUUGGGAAAGCAAGAUUCAAGGGCUUCACAUUCCCGAAUGGAAUAUACCUUCCUCACUGAAAUCUUCGCGACACCAUCAAGCGAUAUACCACUAGUGGACGUUAAAGCGAUAAGAAUAGCCAUCUCCCCACUCUCAAUACUCGGAAAUCAACUCUUGACAUGUAAAAACACUAUUUUUUGUAGCACUCGGAUUAAUAACCUCAAAAAUAUCAAGUGUUUAAUAAAGAAGGCCAAACACUCCGCCGUACGCCACUACACUAAACCCACGACACGUUAAGUAUGUACUUCCAUUGGGUAACUUUAAGCGACUUGAGCAACUAGGAUAUUUUCAAUCAAAUGCUGUUAAUAAAGUAUGGGACUUUA
RNA transcript from Nematostella vectensis (starlet sea anemone), 5585 nucleotides. It is a transcript of the gene named protein IWS1 homolog, with no coding region annotated. The transcript has 3 exons. The record is from RefSeq and is a predicted model, not a curated record. Lineage: Eukaryota; Metazoa; Cnidaria; Anthozoa; Actiniaria; Edwardsiidae.